UAGUGCCACAGAAAAUAGGUAGCCCUCUGCAGGGGGAACCCCACUGCAGAGGGUCAUAGUGAAAAGGUGGUGUAAGAGACCACCGGCGGGCCAGGUGACUGGCCCGGCCAGGCAAACCCCAUCGGGAGCAAGGCCAAGCAGGAGGUGCCCAAGGGCUAAACCCUUUGGGCCGGGGGCUGCUCGUCCCUGACUCUCCAGGUAGGCCGCCUAGAGAGAUGGCCACCGGCCCACGGAUGCCCCGUGGGCUACAGAAUUCGGCUUAUCGGCCCGCUCGCUCG
Molecule: RNase P RNA, 278 nt
Filed under: Chloroflexota bacterium
Lineage: Bacteria; Bacillati; Chloroflexota
Description: Chloroflexi bacterium (oil production facility metagenome) partial RNase P RNA component class A
Rfam family: Bacterial RNase P class A
About the family: Ribonuclease P (RNase P) is a ubiquitous endoribonuclease, found in archaea, bacteria and eukarya as well as chloroplasts and mitochondria. Its best characterised activity is the generation of mature 5'-ends of tRNAs by cleaving the 5'-leader elements of precursor-tRNAs. Cellular RNase Ps are ribonucleoproteins.
Source: RNAcentral